This 2923-nucleotide ribosomal RNA is filed under the name Staphylococcus aureus. RNAcentral's name for it is "23S ribosomal RNA". It matches the Rfam family "Bacterial large subunit ribosomal RNA". Lineage: Bacteria; Bacillati; Bacillota; Bacilli; Caryophanales; Staphylococcaceae. The record is from RNAcentral.
GAUUAAGUUAUUAAGGGCGCACGGUGGAUGCCUUGGCACUAGAAGCCGAUGAAGGACGUUACUAACGACGAUAUGCUUUGGGGAGCUGUAAGUAAGCUUUGAUCCAGAGAUUUCCGAAUGGGGAAACCCAGCAUGAGUUAUGUCAUGUUAUCGAUAUGUGAAUACAUAGCAUAUCAGAAGGCACACCCGGAGAACUGAAACAUCUUAGUACCCGGAGGAAGAGAAAGAAAAUUCGAUUCCCUUAGUAGCGGCGAGCGAAACGGGAAGAGCCCAAACCAAAAAGCUUGCUUGUUGGGGUUGUAGGACGCUCUAUACGGAGUUACAAAGGACGACAUUAGACGAAUCAUCUGGAAAGAUGAAUCAAAGAAGGUAAUAAUCCUGUAGUCGAAAAUGUUGUCUCUCUUGAGUGGAUCCUGAGUACGACGGAGCACGUGAAAUUCCGUCGGAAUCUGGGAGGACCAUCUCCUAAGGCUAAAUACUCUCUAGUGACCGAUAGUGAACCAGUACCGUGAGGGAAAGGUGAAAAGCACCCCGGAAGGGGAGUGAAAUAGAACCUGAAACCGUGUGCUUACAAGUAGUCAGAGCCCGUUAAUGGGUGAUGGCGUGCCUUUUGUAGAAUGAACCGGCGAGUUACGAUUUGAUGCAAGGUUAAGCAGUAAAUGUGGAGCCGUAGCGAAAGCGAGUCUGAAUAGGGCGUUUAGUAUUUGGUCGUAGACCCGAAACCAGGUGAUCUACCCUUGGUCAGGUUGAAGUUCAGGUAACACUGAAUGGAGGACCGAACCGACUUACGUUGAAAAGUGAGCGGAUGAACUGAGGGUAGCGGAGAAAUUCCAAUCGAACCUGGAGAUAGCUGGUUCUCUCCGAAAUAGCUUUAGGGCUAGCCUCAAGUGAUGAUUAUUGGAGGUAGAGCACUGUUUGGACGAGGGGCCCCUCUCGGGUUACCGAAUUCAGACAAACUCCGAAUGCCAAUUAAUUUAACUUGGGAGUCAGAACAUGGGUGAUAAGGUCCGUGUUCGAAAGGGAAACAGCCCAGACCACCAGCUAAGGUCCCAAAAUAUAUGUUAAGUGGAAAAGGAUGUGGCGUUGCCCAGACAACUAGGAUGUUGGCUUAGAAGCAGCCAUCAUUUAAAGAGUGCGUAAUAGCUCACUAGUCGAGUGACACUGCGCCGAAAAUGUACCGGGGCUAAACAUAUUACCGAAGCUGUGGAUUGUCCUUUGGACAAUGGUAGGAGAGCGUUCUAAGGGCGUUGAAGCAUGAUCGUAAGGACAUGUGGAGCGCUUAGAAGUGAGAAUGCCGGUGUGAGUAGCGAAAGACGGGUGAGAAUCCCGUCCACCGAUUGACUAAGGUUUCCAGAGGAAGGCUCGUCCGCUCUGGGUUAGUCGGGUCCUAAGCUGAGGCCGACAGGCGUAGGCGAUGGAUAACAGGUUGAUAUUCCUGUACCACCUAUAAUCGUUUUAAUCGAUGGGGGGACGCAGUAGGAUAGGCGAAGCGUGCGAUUGGAUUGCACGUCUAAGCAGUAAGGCUGAGUAUUAGGCAAAUCCGGUACUCGUUAAGGCUGAGCUGUGAUGGGGAGAAGACAUUGUGUCUUCGAGUCGUUGAUUUCACACUGCCGAGAAAAGCCUCUAGAUAGAAAAUAGGUGCCCGUACCGCAAACCGACACAGGUAGUCAAGAUGAGAAUUCUAAGGUGAGCGAGCGAACUCUCGUUAAGGAACUCGGCAAAAUGACCCCGUAACUUCGGGAGAAGGGGUGCUCUUUAGGGUUAACGCCCAGAAGAGCCGCAGUGAAUAGGCCCAAGCGACUGUUUAUCAAAAACACAGGUCUCUGCUAAACCGUAAGGUGAUGUAUAGGGGCUGACGCCUGCCCGGUGCUGGAAGGUUAAGAGGAGUGGUUAGCUUCUGCGAAGCUACGAAUCGAAGCCCCAGUAAACGGCGGCCGUAACUAUAACGGUCCUAAGGUAGCGAAAUUCCUUGUCGGGUAAGUUCCGACCCGCACGAAAGGCGUAACGAUUUGGGCACUGUCUCAACGAGAGACUCGGUGAAAUCAUAGUACCUGUGAAGAUGCAGGUUACCCGCGACAGGACGGAAAGACCCCGUGGAGCUUUACUGUAGCCUGAUAUUGAAAUUCGGCACAGCUUGUACAGGAUAGGUAGGAGCCUUUGAAACGUGAGCGCUAGCUUACGUGGAGGCGCUGGUGGGAUACUACCCUAGCUGUGUUGGCUUUCUAACCCGCACCACUUAUCGUGGUGGGAGACAGUGUCAGGCGGGCAGUUUGACUGGGGCGGUCGCCUCCUAAAAGGUAACGGAGGCGCUCAAAGGUUCCCUCAGAAUGGUUGGAAAUCAUUCAUAGAGUGUAAAGGCAUAAGGGAGCUUGACUGCGAGACCUACAAGUCGAGCAGGGUCGAAAGACGGACUUAGUGAUCCGGUGGUUCCGCAUGGAAGGGCCAUCGCUCAACGGAUAAAAGCUACCCCGGGGAUAACAGGCUUAUCUCCCCCAAGAGUUCACAUCGACGGGGAGGUUUGGCACCUCGAUGUCGGCUCAUCGCAUCCUGGGGCUGUAGUCGGUCCCAAGGGUUGGGCUGUUCGCCCAUUAAAGCGGUACGCGAGCUGGGUUCAGAACGUCGUGAGACAGUUCGGUCCCUAUCCGUCGUGGGCGUAGGAAAUUUGAGAGGAGCUGUCCUUAGUACGAGAGGACCGGGAUGGACAUACCUCUGGUGUACCAGUUGUCGUGCCAACGGCAUAGCUGGGUAGCUAUGUGUGGACGGGAUAAGUGCUGAAAGCAUCUAAGCAUGAAGCCCCCCUCAAGAUGAGAUUUCCCAACUUCGGUUAUAAGAUCCCUCAAAGAUGAUGAGGUUAAUAGGUUCGAGGUGGAAGCAUGGUGACAUGUGGAGCUGACGAAUACUAAUCGAUCGAAGACUUAAUCAA